Long non-coding RNA from Zalophus californianus (California sea lion), 767 nucleotides. RefSeq lists it as uncharacterized. The record is from RefSeq and is a predicted model, not a curated record. The transcript has 3 exons. Lineage: Eukaryota; Metazoa; Chordata; Mammalia; Carnivora; Otariidae.
GAGGUGGGACAGUAGACACGCAGCCCGCCCCUCACCCCCCACCUGUGGGACCCCGGCGGGGGGGCUCCCAUCUGGACAACAGAGGCAAGGAUCAGCAGGGAUGAGAAGACCCACCUUGUCAGGGACCCACCCUGCCAAGCCCGGCCUCUCCUCCCCCCAGCACAGUCCGGCCCGACACCAAAUGCAGAACCAACCCCGCAGCAGGCCGUUCAGAGGACUGCUCACCCCUGAUCCCCUCCCUGGGCUCCUCCUGCAUGCUUCCUGUCUGUCUCCUCCACAUGGAGGAGGGCUGAGGUGUUUGUCUCCUGCUUACUGCGCCCAGCAUGACACCCACAGAGCAGGGACUCCAUACGUUCGCCCGCUGAGCAGCUGAAUGGUCACUCAAAUGGAAGGGAACGUGGGCUUCCAGAGUAAGCUUCAGGGGAGUCAGACUCCGAGGAGUGAGGUGGAGCAGACUCGGGGGCAAGAACCCAGCUCUGCCCAGAGACCCUUGCAAGGAAGUUGGUACCCGCUCAGUCAGGCGCAGUUGCCGGGUCGGUGAGCAGACCAACGGGACGGGCAGUUUGGGAAACGAGAGCUUCCCACGCCAGCUCCAGCCUGCCAAACCACAGCCCUCCUGUGGAGACUCCCGGACGAGAGGGGUCUGUAAAUGUAAAGUCUGGAGCCGGGACCAGCGCUCUGAGCCCGGCACCCACGGGGAGGCCCCCGGAAGGGCUGGGGCCGCGUAGGGGAGGACGCUGGUCUGCGAGCCCUUGGCCCAGGACGAG